This 207-nucleotide ribosomal RNA is filed under the name uncultured soil bacterium. Its description in RNAcentral is "partial 16S ribosomal RNA". It matches the Rfam family "Bacterial small subunit ribosomal RNA", at positions 26 to 261 of the family's 1533-position model. The record is from RNAcentral.
AGAACGAACGCUGGCGGCAUGCCUAAUACAUGCAAGUCGAACGAAGGCUUCGGCCUUAGUGGCGCACGGGUGCGUAACGCGUGGGAAUCUGCCCCUUGGUUCGGAAUAACAGUUGGAAACGACUGCUAAUACCGGAUGAUGACGAAAGUCCAAAGAUUUAUCGCCAAGGGAUGAGCCCGCGUAGGAUUAGCUAGUUGGUGAGGUAAA